Molecule: long non-coding RNA, 756 nt
Organism: Cucumis sativus (cucumber)
Lineage: Eukaryota; Viridiplantae; Streptophyta; Magnoliopsida; Cucurbitales; Cucurbitaceae
Exons: 2
Source: RefSeq, a predicted model, not a curated record
AUGCCCAACUUUUCCGGCAUGUGGGGCUGCAGAUUCUUCCACUUUUUUCAUAUGAAGAUAGGCAUCAAAUUCCAUGAUAUUUAUUCCUUUUUGAUUUCCCUUGUUAUGUCUGUGAUAGUCCUCCUUUCAGCAGUCGGUAUCAUUAGCAUAGAUUUUGUGCAGGCUCACUCAGCUAAAGGAAGGCUUCAGCAUUUUGAUGCUAAUACCUGUAAAUAUAGUUCGUGAUGAUCGAUUGAGCAUCUCCACGACACCCUUAUAAUACAGCUCUUUUGGCUCUUCUUUUGCUCUCUCGAUUUCCAUCCACUUCUGCUGUCAAUCACAACAUGGCUCCUAAUUCGCCUAUUGGGAUGUUUCAAAUGACCGAGUAUCAACAAGUUGUAGAGAACAAGAAUGGAUAUCGAUACUCUUUUGAACAAAAAAUCGUCAAAAAACGAGCUCGACGAUCCAAGAAGGAAGCUGAAGGUCCAAGUCCCUCAAUGGCAAAUCGAAGCCGAAUGACGUGGUUUGACAUCCAGUCUUUAUUGUGUAUGUGUAUUGUUUUUGGCUUGUUGAUGUGAAGUGAAUAAUAAUGAGGUAUUUACUCUACUAGAAAGUUUGAGCUCGGGUUUAUUUGUUUGUUUGAUGAAAAAAAUUGAAUUGUAUUUUAUCUUUAGUCUUGAAAUUUGUUUUAGCUUCAUUAUUGGAUUGUAAUUACUAAAAUUGGAACAAAAAAUUACUAAAAUGGUGAUAUAGACUAUUAAUUUAUUAUUUUGUAAA